GCCUGGCUGGCUCAGUCAGAAGAGCAUACGUCUCUUGAUCUUGGGGUUAUGAGUUCAAACCCCAUGUUGGGUG
Molecule: transfer RNA, 73 nt
Filed under: Ailuropoda melanoleuca (giant panda)
Lineage: Eukaryota; Metazoa; Chordata; Mammalia; Carnivora; Ursidae
Rfam family: tRNA
About the family: Transfer RNA (tRNA) molecules are approximately 80 nucleotides in length.
Source: Rfam by way of RNAcentral